Transfer RNA from Saprospiraceae bacterium, 74 nucleotides. It matches the Rfam family "tRNA". From Rfam's summary of the family: Transfer RNA (tRNA) molecules are approximately 80 nucleotides in length. Their secondary structure includes four short double-helical elements and three loops (D, anti-codon, and T loops). Further hydrogen bonds mediate the characteristic L-shaped molecular structure. tRNAs have two regions of fundamental functional importance: the anti-codon, which is responsible for specific mRNA codon recognition, and the 3' end, to which the tRNAs corresponding amino acid is attached (by aminoacyl-tRNA synthetases). tRNAs cope with the degeneracy of the genetic code in two manners: having more than one tRNA (with a specific anti-codon) for a particular amino acid; and 'wobble' base-pairing, i.e. permitting non-standard base-pairing at the 3rd anti-codon position. NCBI's taxonomy places the organism in Bacteria, Pseudomonadati, Bacteroidota, Saprospiria, Saprospirales, Saprospiraceae. The record is from Rfam.
AGUCUCGUAGCUCAGCUGGUUAGAGCGCUACACUGAUAAUGUAGAGGUCGGCGGUUCAAGUCCGCCCGAGACUA